This 253-nucleotide ribosomal RNA is filed under the name uncultured bacterium. RNAcentral's name for it is "partial 16S ribosomal RNA". It matches the Rfam family "Bacterial small subunit ribosomal RNA", at positions 524 to 776 of the family's 1533-position model. The record is from RNAcentral.
UACGGGGGGGGUAAGCGUUGUUCGGAAUUACUGGGCGUAAAGGGCUCGUAGGCGGCCAACUAAGUCGGACGUGAAAUCCCUCAGCUUAACUGGGGAACUGCGUCUGAUACUGGAUGGCUUGGAUUUGGGAGAGGGAUGCGGAAUUCCAGGUGUAGCGGUGAAAUGCGUAGAUAUCUGGAGGAACACCGGUGGCGAAGGCGGCAUCCUGGACCAACAUUGACGCUGAGGAGCGAAAGCCAGGGGAGCAAAAGGG